UACAGGGGGUGCAAACGUUGCUCGGAAUCAUUGGGCGUAAAGCGCACGUAGGCGGUCUGUUAUGUCGGAUGUGAAAGCCCUUGGCUCAACUGAGGAAGUGCAUCCGAAACUGGCAGGCUAGAGUACUAAAGAGGAUCGCGGAAUUCCCGGUGUAGAGGUGAAAUUCGUAGAUAUCGAGAGGAACAUCGGUGGCGAAGGCGGCCUUCUGGACGGUGACUGACGCUGAGAUGCGAAAGCGUGGGGAGCAAACAGG
This 253-nucleotide ribosomal RNA is filed under the name uncultured bacterium. RNAcentral's name for it is "partial 16S ribosomal RNA". It matches the Rfam family "Bacterial small subunit ribosomal RNA", at positions 524 to 776 of the family's 1533-position model. The record is from RNAcentral.